RNAcentral lists this ribosomal RNA (484 nucleotides) under uncultured bacterium. Its description in RNAcentral is "partial 16S ribosomal RNA". It matches the Rfam family "Bacterial small subunit ribosomal RNA", at positions 30 to 507 of the family's 1533-position model. The record is from RNAcentral.
AUUGAACGCUGGCGGCAUGCCUUACACAUGCAAGUCGAACGGCAGCACGGGAGCAAUCCUGGUGGCGAGUGGCGAACGGGUGAGUAAUACAUCGGAACGUGCCCAAUCGUGGGGGAUAACGCAGCGAAAGCUGUGCUAAUACCGCAUACGAUCUACGGAUGAAAGCAGGGGAUCGCAAGGCCUUGCGCGAUUGGAGCGGCCGAUGGCAGAUUAGUUAGUUGGUGGGGUAAAGGCUCACCAAGCCAACGAUCUGUAGCUGGUCUGAGAGGACGACCAGCCACACUGGAACUGAGACACGGCCCAGACUCCUACGGGAGGCAGCAGUGGGGAAUUUUGGGCAAUGGGCGCAAGCCUGAUCCAGCCAUGCCGCGUGCAGGAUGAAGGCCUUCGGGUUGUAAACUGCUUUUGUACGGAACGAAACGGCCUUUUCUAAUAAAGAGGGCUAAUGACGGUACCGUAAGAAUAAGCACCGGCUAACUACGUG